GGGAGAUGUCAGGAUGUGAAAACAACCAACAUUAAGUAGAUAUUUUGUGCCAGCACGAUAGCAAGUGUCUCCAAUAUGCUUUUGUCUUCUGUUCAAAGAUGCUAAACUGGCCUUCAUCAAACAGCCACUAGCUCAACUUGCUUCUGCUGUCUGUGAACACAGAGAACGAGGAUGGCUAAUGCAGCUGGGGCCCAACCAUGGAACAGCUGCACCGAGCAACUGAGACCCUUCCUUGGAAACCUCAGCACAGUUCACGAGCUGCAGAUGCAUUGCAGUGACUGAUUAAAAAAUACAAGAUGAAAUAUUGCAGCUAUCAAUAAUUCCUGCACAUGGCUGACUUCUAAUGAAAGAAUAAAGUUUCUGAGGGAGAGAGAAGAAAUGAAGAAAAGGGGUUUUUUAUCAAUUUCAGAGGAACACUUUGAUAUAAUCCUGAAAAUUUCUCUUGGUGAAAUAUUUUCUUUCAUUACCCUCCAUCAUACAGUGUUUGUUUAAUUUCCCCCUUUCAGCAGGACUCUCUCCAGCAAUCUGGCUCUGCAUCCAGCUUGACCACCUCGCUCUGUCUUGCACCACUGAUUAGACCCACCUUGGAUGACGGUAGAUACAGCCAUGCAGGACUAUCCACUUUGCUCAAUGUCCCUGGUUUAUUACAGGAUCAUUGUUGUGACAGAAACAUGUCAGUAAUGGCUGCUUUCCACUGAACAAUGACUCCUAGGCUGUGGCUAUGCAAGCAAAGCGAAGAGGAAAGACGAGCAAUUAUCCAGUGGAUGUGAUCCAUGCUGACAGCCAAUCUGGAUAAUUCAAAUAGAAACAACUUCCUUUGCCUCACUGGCAGGUUUGGGGCUUGAUUUAGUGAGAUCAUUGUUUAACUUUCUUUGCCUGUGGAAAUGCGGUACAUGUGUCUGCUGGUUAAGUGAGGGUUUGGGGGUUAUAACCACAGCAUCUGUUAAUUUGACAUUCAAGUUUCUCUGUGGGUUGGAAGCCCUUGUGUCUAAAAUUUAAAAGUAGCAAUACGUACCAC
RNAcentral lists this long non-coding RNA (1018 nucleotides) under Ictidomys tridecemlineatus (thirteen-lined ground squirrel). Its description in RNAcentral is "lncRNA (ENSSTOG00000034034.1)". The record is from RNAcentral. Lineage: Eukaryota; Metazoa; Chordata; Mammalia; Rodentia; Sciuridae.